UGGGGAAUAUUGGACAAUGGGGGCAACCCUGAUCCAGCAAUGCCGCGUGCAGGAAGAAGGCCCUAUGGGUCGUAAACUGCUUUUGAACAAGAGAAAACCCCGGUACGUGUACUGGGUUGAUAGUAUUGUUAGAAUAAGCAUCGGCUAACUUCGUGCCAGCAGCCGCGGUAAGACGAAGGAUGCAAGCGUUAUCCGGAUUCAUUGGGUUUAAAGGGUGCGUAGGCGGACUGAUAAGUCAGUGGUGAAAUCUCUCGGCUUGACCGAGAAACUGCCAUUGAUACUGUUAGUCUAGAGUACAGAUGAUGUGGGCGGAAUAUGACAUGUAGUGGUGAAAUACUUAGAUAUGUCAUAGAACACCGAUUGCGAAGGCAGCUCACAAAACUGUAACUGACGCUGAGGCACGAAAGUGCGGGGAUCAAACAGGAUUAGAUACCCAUGUAGUCCCUGAGCGGGCUGGCAAGGCGCAU
RNAcentral lists this ribosomal RNA (467 nucleotides) under uncultured bacterium. RNAcentral describes it as "bacterial SSU rRNA". It matches the Rfam family "Bacterial small subunit ribosomal RNA", at positions 355 to 825 of the family's 1533-position model. The record is from RNAcentral.